UUUCUAACGCACUAAGGUAGUAUCAUAAAGAAAAACCCACACAACUUGGCGGUUAAAGUAGCCUAGAGGAACUCGCCCCAUAAUCGACAAUCCCCGAUAAUUUUCACUUGCCACUACAUAGUCUAUAUACCGCCGUUUCAGAAAUAAUUCUGAAAUUAAACUCAAAAUAGAGAACACAAAAAAAUCAGGUCAAGGUGUAGCUUAUAGGUAAGAGGAGGUAAGUUACAUAUAAAAAUCAUUUAAGGAAAUUAAAUAAACAAUUCAAUAGAAAUAGAAUCUAUAAGCACAGACGAGCCAAUAACUCAUCUAGAAAUCAACCACUUUAAUGC
Molecule: ribosomal RNA, 329 nt
Filed under: Guaranita cf. yaculica MACN271
Lineage: Eukaryota; Metazoa; Arthropoda; Arachnida; Araneae; Pholcidae
Description: partial 12S ribosomal RNA
Source: RNAcentral